UAUUUUUACAAAUGAUAAUUUUGGGGGAAAUCGAAACAUGCAGGAUUCUGACGAAAGCCGAAAAGCGUGUGAUUGUCCCUUAAAUUGCAAAUCCCGAAUCUUAAUCGCUCCCAUGAGAUUCAUUUUUACAAAGUCGUAGGUUGGUGUUGUUGGAAAAGAAAGGGUCCUACAUCUACUCUCUCUCAACCUUUCUUCCUAUUUCUCGUUAACUUCCAAGGAAAAAAAGAAAAGUGGUAUAGUUAUAUGGAUAACGGAUCAUUGACCAAGGAGUCCAAAGAGGUGGCACGUGAAUCUCUUAUUGCUAUCUCUAACUCUCUGCCUGAAAAGACUCUGGAUUCAAACUCUGUGUCUGAGAGCAAGAAGUCAGAUGGGGUUGCAAUGCCAAGCCGUGAUAAAGAUGACAAAUUUAGGUCCGAGCUGAUUUCGAUUUCUUAUGCUGAAUCACCUGAUCUCAAAAUCUGAUCAGUUUUGAUGAUAAACUAGCUCGUGUGUAACUCAUGGAUUAUCGUUUUGUUGAAUUUUCUGUAUGACAAUGUUGUGACUGAACCGAUUAUGUAUUGUCUAAACUGUACUACUGCAACCCUAUGUAAAUAUUGUCACCGGCCACAUGCUUGGGUCGUUUGUUGUUUUUUGACUCUGGCAAUUGUGUUGUCUCAGUAUUAUGUUACUUCAUGUGCGGUUGUAAGUGUAGAACAUUUUCUUAUGUUAACAAUACUGUUUUGACCA
Molecule: long non-coding RNA, 726 nt
Organism: Vigna unguiculata (cowpea)
Lineage: Eukaryota; Viridiplantae; Streptophyta; Magnoliopsida; Fabales; Fabaceae
Source: RefSeq, a predicted model, not a curated record